CGGGGCGUGGCGCAGGCCGGUAGCGCGCUUGGUUUGGGACCAAGAGGUCGGGGGUUCAAGUCCCCCCGCCCCGACCA
This 77-nucleotide transfer RNA is filed under the name Clostridia bacterium. Its description in RNAcentral is "tRNA-Pro". It matches the Rfam family "tRNA". From Rfam's summary of the family: Transfer RNA (tRNA) molecules are approximately 80 nucleotides in length. Their secondary structure includes four short double-helical elements and three loops (D, anti-codon, and T loops). Further hydrogen bonds mediate the characteristic L-shaped molecular structure. tRNAs have two regions of fundamental functional importance: the anti-codon, which is responsible for specific mRNA codon recognition, and the 3' end, to which the tRNAs corresponding amino acid is attached (by aminoacyl-tRNA synthetases). tRNAs cope with the degeneracy of the genetic code in two manners: having more than one tRNA (with a specific anti-codon) for a particular amino acid; and 'wobble' base-pairing, i.e. permitting non-standard base-pairing at the 3rd anti-codon position. The record is from RNAcentral. Lineage: Bacteria; Bacillati; Bacillota; Clostridia.